This 23-nucleotide microRNA is filed under the name Danio rerio (zebrafish). RNAcentral describes it as "Dre-Mir-375-P2_5p* (star (passenger))". Lineage: Eukaryota; Metazoa; Chordata; Actinopteri; Cypriniformes; Danionidae. The record is from RNAcentral.
ACGUUGAGCCACACGCACAAUGC